AGUGAACGCUGGCGGUAGGCCUAACACAUGCAAGUCGAACGGUAGCACAGUAAGAGCUUGCUCUUACGGGUGGCGAGUGGCGGACGGGUGAGGAAUACAUCGGAAUCUACUUUUUCGUGGGGGAUAACGUAGGGAAACUUACGCUAAUACCGCAUACGACCUACGGGUGAAAGCAGGAGAUCUUCGGACCUUGCGCGAUUGAAUGAGCCGAUGUCGGAUUAGCUAGUUGGCGGGGUAAAGGCCCACCAAGGCGACGAUCCGUAGCUGGUCUGAGAGGAUGAUCAGCCACACUGGAACUGAGACACGGUCCAGACUCCUACGGGAGGCAGCAGUGGGGAAUAUUGGACAAUGGGCGCAAGCCUGAUCCAGCCAUACCGCGUGGGUGAAGAAGGCCUUCGGGUUGUAAAGCCCUUUUGUUGGGAAAGAAAAGCAGCAGGUUAAUACCCCGCUGUUCUGACGGUACCCAAAGAAUAAGCACCGGCUAACUUCGUG
RNAcentral lists this ribosomal RNA (492 nucleotides) under uncultured bacterium. RNAcentral describes it as "partial 16S ribosomal RNA". It matches the Rfam family "Bacterial small subunit ribosomal RNA", at positions 29 to 507 of the family's 1533-position model. The record is from RNAcentral.